UUUGUGUUGGGAGGUUUUGAACUUCUAGUUGUUUUUUUUUUUUAAAUAAAAUAUACAAUAACUUGUUGUGAACUAUAGUCAUUCUAUUAUGCUGUGGUACAUUAGAACUUAUUUUCUUAUUUCUUUAUUUAGGUAUUGUGACCACCUGGGAUUGAACUCAGGGGUGCUUAACCACUGAGCAACAUCCCCAGCCCAUUUUUAUAUGUAAUUAUAGACAGGGUUUCACUGAGUUGCUUAGCACCUCGCUAAAUUGCUGAGGCUGGCUUUGAACUUGCAAUCCUCCUGCCUCAGCCUCCUGAGCCACUGGGAUUACAGGAGUGCACCACCACACCCAGCUAUAACUUAUUCUAUGUGAUUGUAUUUUGGUGCCUGUUAUUCAUCCUCCCUCUACACUCCCUACCCUUUACUCUUCCUAACCUCUGGUGACUGCCAUUCUACUCUCUACUUCAAUAAAACCAACAUUUUUAGUUUCCACAUAUGAAUGAGAAGAUGCAGUAUUUAUUUGUGCUCCCUUUACUCAUUUUAUUUGUUUAUUUUGAGGUGCUGUUUAUCAAACUUAGGGCCCUUGAGCAUAUUAGGCAAGAACCACUGAGCUACACCCAUCAGCUCACUCUUUGCCCAUUUUAAAAGCAGGUUGUCCUUUUAUUGUUGAGUUGUGGGAGGCUUUUAUAUAUUUUGGAUAUUAAAUCCUUAUCUGUUAUAUGAUUUGUAAGUAUUCUCUCCAACUGUGGGGGUUGUCUUUUCAUUCUGUUGGUGAUGUCCUUUGAUACACAAAUGUUAAAUUUUAACAAAGUGAAAUUAAUGUAUUUUUUUCUUUUGUUACCUGUGCUUUUGGUGUCAGAUUUAAGAGUCCAUGCCCAAACCAAAGUCAUAAAGGUUUGUUAGCAUGGUUUCUUCUAUCAGUUUUGUAGUUUUAGCUUUUAGACUUAGAUAUUUGAUCCAGUUAGAGUUAAUUUUUGUAUAUAGUACACUAGAGUUUGAAUAUGGUUUGAGUGACCCUGAAAGUUCAUGUUCUAAGGGUGGCAGUGUUGCAAGAUGCUGUGAAUCUUUCAGAGAUGGGGCCUAGCCCUCAAGAGAGACUAAGGUAGUUCUCGUGAAACCCCUUGGUAGUUCUCAAGAGAGGUUGUUAUAGACUGAAUGGUCCCACCCAGCUCACUUUGAUUUCUGGUUCAAGAAGUGAGGCUUUCUCCAACAUGCCUUCUUGCUAUUUGCCUGGGGGUCCUUUACUAGAGCAUACAAUAUGUAGGGACUUUCAGUCUCCAAAUUUGUGAGCUAAAUAAACCACUUAAGAAGCUGUUUUUUUUCCUGGUCCUAGAAAUUUAAGCCAGAGCCUUCCUUGGGCAUGCUAGACUAUUACUCUACUAUUAAGAUACAUCCUCAGUUCUCUUUUUAUUUUGCCUAUGUUUUCUAAUAUGUUUUUUAGUUGUAGAUGGACACAAUAUAUUUAUUUUUAUGUGGUGCUGAGGAUUGAACCCAGGGCCUCACGCAUGGGAGGCAAGUGCUCUACCACUAAGCUACAACCCCAGCCACUUUGCUGCAUUAUAAUUGUACAUACUGAUGGGAUUUUUUGUUACGUCUUUGCACAUGCACACAGUACACAAUAUAACAAUAUAAUUGGGUGAUUAAAAAUGGUGGUGUAGAGGAAGGCUACAUUCCUAGUUGUUCCAUGGCUUAGAAUCCAAGCAGCAGAAGUACUGUUUUUCUGAGAGGUGGGUGAAAGAGGGAUUUCACUAAAACUCAAUAUUGGACCCUCAGAGUGUCUUAGAGACUCAGAAAUUUGGGCAUAUUAAACAAAGAAGAAAGUCUACAUUGGAGCCAAGUCCUAGGAGCAUGCUAAUCUAAUCUCUCCAGAGCAGACAACACCCAAAAAAGCCCCUGAGACCUGAUUAGACCUAACCCCCACUUGCCAUAACUCCACGCAUAGAACUCUGUAGCAGCCCCACCCUGGGAGUGCAUUGAUCUGGUCUGUGCAGACAAAACUCCAGCUGACAGUACUUCCCAUCCCAUCCUAUCUCAUAUUGGGGAGAAGAGAAGCUGAGACUUAUUUGUACCAGCUUCAGUUUUAGGCUGUUCCAACUGGCAGCUCAGUGAGCAACAUAAAAAGAGGAAGGGGUUCACAAUCUUCAGCCCUUGCUCUCAUUUUCAGUACGUAGCCUAAGAAAAAAUGGAAAUACAGUUGCGCAUAGACAGUGACCAUCUAUUCUCAUCAACUAUUUUGACAACCUCACUGGAAAUGAUUUCUUUAUUUUUCAUUAAGAAUCUUUUUUUGGGGGGUACAGGGGAUUGAACUCAGGAGCACUCACCACUGAGAGCCAGAUCCCCAGCCCUAUUUUGUUUUUUAUUUAGAGACAGGUUCUCGCUGACUUGCUUAAUUAGCCUCGAUGUUGCUGAGGCUGGCUUUGAACUUGUGAUCCUCCUGCCUCAGACUCCCUAGCUGCUG
This 2440-nucleotide long non-coding RNA is filed under the name Marmota monax (woodchuck). Lineage: Eukaryota; Metazoa; Chordata; Mammalia; Rodentia; Sciuridae. The record is from RNAcentral.